Molecule: ribosomal RNA, 1611 nt
Filed under: Staphylococcus aureus
Lineage: Bacteria; Bacillati; Bacillota; Bacilli; Caryophanales; Staphylococcaceae
Description: partial 23S ribosomal RNA
Rfam family: Bacterial large subunit ribosomal RNA
Source: RNAcentral
AGACCACCAGCUAAGGUCCCAAAAUAUAUGUUAAGUGGAAAAGGAUGUGGCGUUGCCCAGACAACUAGGAUGUUGGCUUAGAAGCAGCCAUCAUUUAAAGAGUGCGUAAUAGCUCACUAGUCGAGUGACACUGCGCCGAAAAUGUACCGGGGCUAAACAUAUUACCGAAGCUGUGGAUUGUCCUUUGGACAAUGGUAGGAGAGCGUUCUAAGGGCGUUGAAGCAUGAUCGUAAGGACAUGUGGAGCGCUUAGAAGUGAGAAUGCCGGUGUGAGUAGCGAAAGACGGGUGAGAAUCCCGUCCACCGAUUGACUAAGGUUUCCAGAGGAAGGCUCGUCCGCUCUGGGUUAGUCGGGUCCUAAGCUGAGGCCGACAGGCGUAGGCGAUGGAUAACAGGUUGAUAUUCCUGUACCACCUAUAAUCGUUUUAAUCGAUGGGGGGACGCAGUAGGAUAGGCGAAGCGUGCGAUUGGAUUGCACGUCUAAGCAGUAAGGCUGAGUAUUAGGCAAAUCCGGUACUCGUUAAGGCUGAGCUGUGAUGGGGAGAAGACAUUGUGUCUUCGAGUCGUUGAUUUCACACUGCCGAGAAAAGCCUCUAGAUAGAAAAUAGGUGCCCGUACCGCAAACCGACACAGGUAGUCAAGAUGAGAAUUCUAAGGUGAGCGAGCGAACUCUCGUUAAGGAACUCGGCAAAAUGACCCCGUAACUUCGGGAGAAGGGGUGCUCUUUAGGGUUAACGCCCAGAAGAGCCGCAGUGAAUAGGCCCAAGCGACUGUUUAUCAAAAACACAGGUCUCUGCUAAACCGUAAGGUGAUGUAUAGGGGCUGACGCCUGCCCGGUGCUGGAAGGUUAAGAGGAGUGGUUAGCUUCUGCGAAGCUACGAAUCGAAGCCCCAGUAAACGGCGGCCGUAACUAUAACGGUCCUAAGGUAGCGAAAUUCCUUGUCGGGUAAGUUCCGACCCGCACGAAAGGCGUAACGAUUUGGGCACUGUCUCAACGAGAGACUCGGUGAAAUCAUAGUACCUGUGAAGAUGCAGGUUACCCGCGACAGGACGGAAAGACCCCGUGGAGCUUUACUGUAGCCUGAUAUUGAAAUUCGGCACAGCUUGUACAGGAUAGGUAGGAGCCUUUGAAACGUGAGCGCUAGCUUACGUGGAGGCGCUGGUGGGAUACUACCCUAGCUGUGUUGGCUUUCUAACCCGCACCACUUAUCGUGGUGGGAGACAGUGUCAGGCGGGCAGUUUGACUGGGGCGGUCGCCUCCUAAAAGGUAACGGAGGCGCUCAAAGGUUCCCUCAGAAUGGUUGGAAAUCAUUCAUAGAGUGUAAAGGCAUAAGGGAGCUUGACUGCGAGACCUACAAGUCGAGCAGGGUCGAAAGACGGACUUAGUGAUCCGGUGGUUCCGCAUGGAAGGGCCAUCGCUCAACGGAUAAAAGCUACCCCGGGGAUAACAGGCUUAUCUCCCCCAAGAGUUCACAUCGACGGGGAGGUUUGGCACCUCGAUGUCGGCUCAUCGCAUCCUGGGGCUGUAGUCGGUCCCAAGGGUUGGGCUGUUCGCCCAUUAAAGCGGUACGCGAGCUGGGUUCAGAACGUCGUGAGACAGUUCGGUCCCUAU